RNAcentral lists this ribosomal RNA (523 nucleotides) under uncultured bacterium. RNAcentral's name for it is "bacterial SSU rRNA". It matches the Rfam family "Bacterial small subunit ribosomal RNA", at positions 777 to 1301 of the family's 1533-position model. The record is from RNAcentral.
AAUAGAUACCCAGGUAGUCCACGCCGUAAACGAUGAGUGCUAGGUGUUGGGGGCUUUCAGUCCUCAGUGCCGAAGGUAACCCAUUAAGCACUCCGCCUGGGGAGUACGGCCGCAAGGCUGAAACUCAAAGGAAUUGACGGGGGCCCGCACAAGCGGUGGAGCAUGUGGUUUAAUUCGAAGCAACGCGAAGAACCUUACCAGGGCUUGACAUCCCGCUGACCGCUCUAGAGAUAGAGCUUCCCUUCGGGGCAGCAGUGACAGGUGGUGCAUGGUUGUCGUCAGCUCGUGUCGUGAGAUGUUGGGUUCAGUCCCGCAACGAGCGCAACCCUUAUCGUUAGUUGCCAGCACUACGGGUGGGCACUCUAGCGAGACAGCCGGUGAAAGCCGGAGGAAGGUGGGGAUGACGUCAAAUCAUCAUGCCCCUUAUGUCCUGGGCUACACACGUGCUACAAUGGUCGGUACAAAGGGCAGCAAACCCGCGAGGGGGAGCCAAUCCCAUAAAGCCGAUCUCAGUUCGGAUCGC